This 518-nucleotide ribosomal RNA is filed under the name uncultured Glomus. RNAcentral describes it as "SSU rRNA". It matches the Rfam family "Eukaryotic small subunit ribosomal RNA", at positions 569 to 1092 of the family's 1831-position model. The record is from RNAcentral. Lineage: Eukaryota; Fungi; Glomeromycota; Glomeromycetes; Glomerales; Glomeraceae.
CGCAGCCGCGGUAAUUCCAGCUCCAAUAGCGUAUAUUAAAGUUGUUGCAGUUAAAAAGCUCGUAGUUGAAUUUCGGGAUCAAUAUGUUGGUCGUGCCUCGGUACGUACUAGCUUAUUGGUUUCUCCUUUCUGAAGAACCAUGAUGUCAUUUAUUUGGUGUCGUGGGGAAUCAGGACUGUUACUUUGAAAAAAUUAGAGUGUUUAAAGCAGGCUCACGCUUGAAUACAUUAGCAUGGAAUAAUGAAAUAGGACGUUUGAUUCUAUUUUGUUGGUUUCUAGGAUCGACGUAAUGAUUAAUAGGGAUAGUUGGGGGCAUUAGUAUUCAAUUGUCAGAGGUGAAAUUCUUGGAUUUAUUGAAGACUAACUACUGCGAAAGCAUUUGCCAAGGAUGUUUUCAUUAAUCAAGAACGAAAGUUAGGGGAUCGAAGACGAUCAGAUACCGUCGUAGUCUUAACCAUAAACUAUGCGACUAGGGAUCGGAUGAUGUUAAUUUUUAAUGACUCAUUCGGCGCCUUAAC